Molecule: microRNA precursor, 52 nt
Filed under: Equus asinus (donkey)
Lineage: Eukaryota; Metazoa; Chordata; Mammalia; Perissodactyla; Equidae
Also listed under: 1 other name
Description: mir-1302 microRNA precursor family
Rfam family: mir-1302 microRNA precursor family
Source: Rfam by way of RNAcentral
AUUUUAGCGUAAGUACGCCCCAUGCAAUAUUUGGGACAUACUUAUACUAAAA